UACGAAGGGUGCAAGCGUUACUCGGAAUUACUGGGCGUAAAGCGUGCGUAGGCGGUUCGUUAAGUCUGAUGUGAAAGCCCUGGGCUCAACCUGGGAAUGGCAUUGGAUACUGGCGACCUAGAGUGCGGUAGAGGGUAGCGGAAUUCCCGGUGUAGCAGUGAAAUGCGUAGAUAUCGGGAGGAACAUCCGUGGCGAAGGCGGCUACCUGGGCAAUUCCUGACGCUGAGGCGCGAAAGCGUGGGGAGCAAACGGG
RNAcentral lists this ribosomal RNA (253 nucleotides) under uncultured bacterium. RNAcentral describes it as "partial 16S ribosomal RNA". It matches the Rfam family "Bacterial small subunit ribosomal RNA", at positions 524 to 776 of the family's 1533-position model. The record is from RNAcentral.